UCCUUCAAAAAUAUUUAUCAUUUCCAACAUAUAUCUUGCUUGCAGAAAUCGAUUGACUGCUAUAAGGCUUAUACAAAGGAUAAUAAUGUUAAUAACAAGACAGUACAGCCAGAUAUACAGCAAGUCAAAGCCGAUACUGUAAGCUUGGCAAAGAAACUUGAAGCUCUUGAAGUUUCGAAGCUAAAGAUCUUGGGCGAAAAUUUAGGAGGGUGCUCUGCUGAAGAACUGAACUGUCUAGAAGUAAAUAUUGAGAAGAGUCUCCACAUCAUCAGAGGAAAGAAGACCCAGGUGCUCGAACAGCAGAUAGCUAACCUGAAAGAGAAGGAGAGGACGCUUCUCAAAGACAACGAAGACUUGCGCGGAAAGCAGCGCGACAUUGAGGCGUCGCUGGUGGUUCCUGCCCUGAACUGCGUCACGCCCCUGCAGAUACGUGGCCAGCUGGCACCACAGCAGGAGCCGGUACCGAGCGAUGAGGAGACGGAGCUCUACAUUGGGUUGCCCGGGGUUCGCUGCUCCAACUGGCGGUCAGGUCAAGCCAAAUAG
Molecule: ribosomal RNA, 543 nt
Filed under: Triticum aestivum (bread wheat)
Lineage: Eukaryota; Viridiplantae; Streptophyta; Magnoliopsida; Poales; Poaceae
Description: partial small subunit ribosomal RNA
Source: RNAcentral